AGCGAAUGCUGGCGGCAGGCCUAACACAUGCAAGUCGAACGGAUCCUUCGGGAUUAGUGGCGGACGGGUGAGUAACACGUGGGAACGUGCCCUUUGGUUCGGAACAACUCAGGGAAACUUGAGCUAAUACCGGAUGUGCCCUUCGGGGGAAAGAUUUAUCGCCAUUGGAGCGGCCCGCGUCUGAUUAGCUAGUUGGUGAGGUAACGGCCCACCAAGGCGACGAUCAGUAGCUGGUCUGAGAGGAUGAUCAGCCACACUGGGACUGAGACACGGCCCAGACUCCUACGGGAGGCAGCAGUGGGGAAUCUUGCGCAAUGGGCGAAAGCCUGACGCAGCCAUGCCGCGUGAAUGAUGAAGGUCUUAGGAUUGUAAAAUUCUUUCAGCGGGGACGAUAAUGACGGUACCCGCAGAAGAAGCUCCGGCUAACUUCGUG
This 433-nucleotide ribosomal RNA is filed under the name uncultured bacterium. Its description in RNAcentral is "partial 16S ribosomal RNA". It matches the Rfam family "Bacterial small subunit ribosomal RNA", at positions 29 to 507 of the family's 1533-position model. The record is from RNAcentral.